AAGCAGCAGGCAAGCUGCAAAGAGCUCCUUUUCUCCCGCCUCUCAGCUGAUCGGCGGGUGGGCGGGGCUUCCACGGAGGCCUCCGUGUAGGCCGCAGUGAAGCCUGAACUCGAGUAGGGCCCAAGCAAGCCAGGAAGGAGGAGGCAGCCAGAGUGUUCUCUGCAGCAGAAGACCCCUUGCUGCCCUGCUUAACCCAGACCAGCAUUUGCCAGCUAACAAGCUAACAGUCAUUUCUGUAAGAGGGGAGAGCAAAAUCAACAGAACUGAUAAAACAACCAAUCAGCAGAACUGAAGACUAACUCCACCCCAAGGACCCAACACAGACACAUACAUACAGAGAUGCUUUGUGAACAUCCUGCUUGGUAUUUGUGCACAUUUGUGGCAGCCUUUUCUGGACCAUUUAAGAGGCACACUUUACCGGCUUUGGCACAUAAUUGGGUGGUGGUGCCUCCUGUGUGGAACAACUAUUCCAGAUCCCUUUCAUUCCCUCAUGUGUGUGGUUGUGCACUAUGGUGGCAACCAUUUGGGCCUGAUGAAAAGCCAGGCAUUGCUCUUGCAGCCAGCCAUUUCUGAGUUUCAUGUUUUGCUGACCCAUGGGGCUAGAUUUUAUGUUAUUGUCUAACCUGAUGAGCGGUAUAUAAAUGUAAGUGCUAAAUGUAAGUGCUGAUGUCUCAUCAAUAUUGGUGAGGUGAAGAGAUCCCUAGAUGUAGCAAGAGGGAUAGUAAAAGUAAACCAGGAAAUUGUCAAGGCAUUAUUGCCUUGUGACAGCAGAGUCAUGCUGCCCCAUAAAAUGCAUCACUGUUCCAACCCUAUAGGGCAGGCGGGGUCCACCUUUAGGCUCAGGGAACAAUUUGUUUCUGAUGUCCUUGCAGUUGGGUUUAUUUGAGUUAUUCGUUGGUUGGGGGAAAGGGAGCAAAACUGAGGUUUGCCCCCUUUUGUGGCAGGUGAGUGUGGGCUGAGGACCCUUUGGGCCUUCAACCAGAGGCAUUUAUAUGGUGAAGAGGGUUUCCAUGGAACAGUCUCAGUGUUUUGUGGCCUGGGUUGCUGGGAAUGGGGCCCCGUUGGGAAGCUGCUCAUCUUGCCCAAUCAGAGCUUUGUAGCUUAGGGAUUGGUGAUGCUGGCAACCCUCCCUCGACACAGAAUACUGUGUGGUAAGGAGGAAGCCAGAGGUCAGAUGACUGCUGGCAACCACCAAGCCCAGUUGAUUUGCCCAGCAGUGGGGAAAAUAGCCAUCUUUAGGAGGCUAAAUCCCACAAGGGAACGAGUUGCCCACACUCAGGUUAAGGAAGUUAGAAAUAUUGCCCUGUUGCAUGUUCUGUAAAUUGUUAAU
This is a long non-coding RNA of Hemicordylus capensis (graceful crag lizard), 1330 nucleotides long. RefSeq lists it as uncharacterized. The transcript has 3 exons. The record is from RefSeq and is a predicted model, not a curated record. NCBI's taxonomy places the organism in Eukaryota, Metazoa, Chordata, Lepidosauria, Squamata, Cordylidae.